Long non-coding RNA from Gambusia affinis (western mosquitofish), 510 nucleotides. RefSeq lists it as uncharacterized. NCBI's taxonomy places the organism in Eukaryota, Metazoa, Chordata, Actinopteri, Cyprinodontiformes, Poeciliidae. The record is from RefSeq and is a predicted model, not a curated record. The transcript is spliced from 3 exons.
CAAUGUCUUGUUCCCUAAUGGAACUGGGCCAUUUUAGAGUCUACAGGAUUCUGCUGGGAUAUUCUGCAUGCUUCUCUCAGAGCUUAUCAGCACAGGAAUGAAGCAUGCUAUUGCUAAACUGCCAGACAAGACAUUCCCUCAUGGACAUUCUCCAAGGGGCCUGGUAACCAUGGAGACGCCAUUGCUCGCUUAGUUAGCCAAGUGCUCCCCUCGCCGCGUGCGUUUCAUCUUGGAUAGCAUAAACAGCUCCAUAAAAACAGAUACCUAGAAAAAUCCUUUUCCUUGGCAAUCUACAAUAACCUUUAUCUGCACGGCUUUGGCAUGGCGAGACAGAGAGGAGAAAGGAGCGGGAGAGAGGCAGAGAGGGAGGAUCUGUAUAUAUGAAAGGACAAUAACGAUCUUUGGGAGGAAAAGAGAAAUCAAAAUUAACCCACAAACGCGGAUAGAUUCAAAUAACAGCCCGAACAAAAACAGUCUGCGACACCUUCAACGUCAAGGGAAGUCAAGGCA